UGUUAAGCAGCACAUUAGUGCAAUCAGGAAUGUCCAAAAGACAUUUUUUUUUCAAUAUACAUACUAUGGAGUAGUGUGCAUUCCUUGGCAUGCAUGUAUGUUAUGAGCACUAUCUGAGGAAAACCUGCUCUUCAUAAACCAUGUCUUGGGUAUCACAGUAUGCAAGUUUAUGUAUUAGUAUUUCCUGAUUUUCACCAGUGUUGGCUUUUUUCCAUUAGAGAGCGACUUUACCAAGUAAACACUUUUUUUGUUUUCUGUAAAGUGCAUCCUUUUGCUAACCUGAGUGCCAUCAUAAUUUAUACUUUUUUUCAUGUAAGAGAGAAUACAAAGAUCUUCAGGCUUUAUUCUUUUGUAAAUGUCACCAGUUCCACAUACACUACUGUGUCUUGAAACUGGUUUUCCUCUGACCUUAUCAAGAACAGCAAUUUUCCUGUCUACUCUAACAACACCUGGGAUCUUGCCAAAAGAAAUCAGAAUCUAACGUAAAGCUCUGAGAGUAGCAGCUGAGUGUGAAAACAGAAGCGUGCCCAUCAGCCUUUGGAGGGCUUGUGUCAAAAGAGAGCUGCUCCAGUGUGACUGCAGUACCCAACUGAGUGAGCACCUGAGAAGGGCACACCACAGUUGAAAGGCUUUCUUUUGUGAAUGCACUGGUUUAGCUUAACAAAGGCUAAUAGGCAAAGGGCAAACAAAACAGCACUGUAGUGUCUUUCUGGAGAAGAAAGUCUUGGUGCCCACUGGAAUUUCAAAGAAUGACGCUGGCUUCAAAGAUCUUGUACCCUGUCAUAUUGAAAUAUAAUGCAAACUGUAUGGAGUGCCUUGGUCUGAUCUCAGCAACAGCAGCAGUGCUUGCCAGCAGUUCUCUAAGAACACAGGUUGGCAGAGAUACAAACAGAACGUGGAGGAGGCUCAAGGAAUCUGGCUUCCCUAAACUCAGGGAAUGGCAGUAUUAGGGAAAAGUAGGCACAGUUUCUACUCUGUCUUCUACUGCAUUUAAGAUACAGUUUAUUUGAAAUGCAGCUGCACUGUGUUAAUGAUAUCUUGUUUCAGCACGGCACUUUGGUUGCUAACUGCCACAGCCAUUGCUGCAGAGAGAAGAGAACAGUCAGUUUUGGUCACAGUCAAAAUGAGCUUGAUACCCAGGGACUGGAGCCAGAGCCCAGACUGAAAACAGAAGAUCUGCAUGAAUGCACCCUGAGAGAACUGCUGGAGGCCAAAGGGGUUUACUCUAAAGGAGUGAGAAAUUCUGGUAUUUAGAGGAUUACCUGGUUUUGCAAGACCAUAUGGCUACCCCAGAGAACAACCCACAGAGGCCUUGUUGCUGAACAGAGCAAGCUGCAUGUAAAUCCUCCAAACAGCACUUGGCUCUGCUGAGCAUUGACUUGCUCUGAAAUUUAUAGUAGUGGAACACACUCCAGCACCUGUAUGUGUUUAGCAGAAGAAGAAUUCUGCUGCUUAGUGUGAUCGGCUCUAAAGAAGAAAAGGGUAGGUGCCCAUUCAUGUUCGUGAUGAACUUUGGGUCAUCUUCUGAUAAUGACUUGGUAUAGAAAGAGAAGUGCGGAAAAAGAAAGAUUAAAGCGAUGCUCAGCUUAUUCCACAGAGUCUGAAUAAAAAUGAUCAGUGGUGAAAUCUCUCAUGCCAUUCUCAUUCUUGAGAAGUGGCAGAAAGCACCCCACCCUGGGAUUUUUUGAGAAACAAUAUGGAGUAAGAUCACUCAAAGAGCAGCAUGUAAGGGAACCAUGCCAACUAUAAAAUUGAAAUAUUGCACUCGUUUAAAUGGAGCCUCCCAGGCUCAUCUCUAGUUUGUAGAUUUCAUAGCAUCUUGUCUGGAUCUAAAGGUUCACGCUCCUGCUGCAGGAGGCCCUACAAAGUCAGACUCUCCACCACUAAAGUAAAAAUAUAACUGACCAAACCAUUCUUCCUUCUGCAACCAAAAUCCACCUUCUUUCUCAAGGUCUACAGCUACAUGAACCUUGAUAGCUUUCUGGGGGGGAAAUUCUCCAAAGUCACAAGGUGGUGCAAGGCCACUUGCAAAGGUCUUCUUAACCUACACACUGCAAAGCAGGACAUGUAGAAGGCAGACUUAUUUCAACUAUCAAAGACAAUGCAUUAAAAAAACCCAACGGUUGUACAGUGCCUCCCCCAUUAUUUCUCAAAUCCACUAUCUCACUUCUUUUUAGAUAAGGGCACCUGCACUCAUUUCUCAUAAACUCUUUCUUUUUUUUCUUUGAACAGAGGCCAUCUAUAUUUAUACCAGAAUGUAGAAUAAUAAAUUGCCCAGUCUGCUGCUAACCAUGGAGAAAAUCAGGAAGGGAAGCUGAAAUUUCAGAUUCUGAGACAGAAACUUACUUAAGUGUAAGAAUUGCAUGUAAAAUUUCUGGAAUCUCAUCCAAGUCCUUUCAAGAUUUUCAUGCACCAAACUAAACAUUUCUUUGGCUGUUGUCAAAUGCUGGGAAGCUGAGACGAGGAGGAGAGCAUGGUACUAAAUCACCAAGGUGGUAAAAACACAAUGAUCAGAUAAUCAAAUCUCACCUCUCACUGUUUCACAGAUGUCAUGUAUUUUGUUCUCUAUUCUCUUAAGCAUUGCCCAGUCUCUCAUGAUGUGUGCAAAUCCCCUAAAGUUUAGGAGAAAUUUCAGCUAAUUUCAGCUUGCAAUUUGAAAUCACUAGCCUAACACCAUCCCUAAUCUUUACACAGACUGCAGUCCCUGGAACUGACAUGGAAAAGGCUCUAUGCUUAAGAAACAUACUUUGAUUUUCAUAGGCAAGAGCUUUAUACACAGAUUCCUCUUAACUGUGUAAAUGACAGUUUAAACACACACCUCGUGGUUAUUCUCAUGCAUUCUUUAGCACCUUAAGAAUAGGGUAGUACUUUCAUGUUAUGUUGGCUUUGCAAAAUUUUGCCCUGAACCUGUAUGGUUGUAGGAAAAUCUAAUUGCUAUCUAAUUAAAUGUACUCAAUAUUAAAUUUCAAAGCCAUUUGCUUUUCUUUUUUCCAUGUUUUGGCAAGAGUGAAAUGAAAUCUGGCUACGUAAGGUACUUCAAAGUUACAGAAUCCUAACUGGCUUUUCUACAAGCUCCCUUUUAACAGUGUCACUUGAAUAAACAUUAUUGAAGGUUCAGAAAAUAAAUUAAAACAACCCCAAACAACAAAACCCCCAAAGAUGUUGUGUGCAUAUCAUCAAGUUUCUACCUGAUUCACCCAGAGCUUUUUAUUCAAAACCUCUUCUUAUCCAGACAGAAGCUUAGAUUUACCCAUUGGAGAGGCUGGGUGGAGAACCUGCUCUGCAACAGCUGCUCGCUGUCCACAGAUGAGCCAGAACAAAAUGUGUUGGCAUAGAGCACUUGCUUCAAAAUAGGUCAUGAACUCAGAAAAUCCAUUUAUAAACAUUGCACCAGUCUGCAGAACGGGGCACAUAUCCUGAGAAAGGAACCUCCUCUACCACCGUGGAGGAAAGCUCAUCUUCCCUUCUCCUCUCUGAAACUCCUGGCACGUGGAGAAGAAAAAGGAUUUCUGGAUCUCCUGCUCAUUCUAAAAUUGUUAGAAGGGAGAAGGAACUGUAUCCUGAGGCUCUGAAAAACAUCAAGAGGAGCUUGCAGUUUAAGAACCAAUUUGGUCACUACAGUGGUCAGGAGAGAAGUGAGCACAGAAUUGGCAGGAUGAAGUGGAGGAGAGUCUGGAAGAGAGGUUUUAAACAGACUCACAGUCAUUUUGUACUGACUGAAAAUGGUUUCCUUCUCAAAGAGUCUAGGGCCCUUCUCCAUUGCACAGUGAAAUCACUGAAAGCUCUCCAGACACUUUCAGAGAACUUUGGGUUAGGUCUUGUGGUCAUGUCUUCAGAGUAGAUGGUUUUAAUAAAGUGCAUUAACAGAUGUUUUCAAACGCUCCUAAAGUCAGUUCAGCUGUGGGAUCUUUGCAAGACAUGGGAUUGUUACCAGACUUGAGAAUAAAAACCACAGGUCCCUCCCCAGUUUAGUUUCUGGUGCUUGCAAAAAACUUCUGUGAUUAAAAGAGAAAGAAUUUGCAAGUCAUCUUACGAAAUAAGGGAGAAUCUAAUUCCACAAUUAACUAGGCCAUCAUCUAGCAAGUUCUCCACUCCUGCCAAGUGCUAUCAAUACUCUAAAAAGAGCCCUAUUAAUAAGAGAUGUUGUUAUUUGGAAUACACUGGGGUUGCCUAGUUCCAAAGAAACCAAAUAUGCUGACCAUGACACAGCACUCUGAACUUUCCACAUGAGAUCACUAGAUAUCUUUGAGAGUGAGAAAUGAGAAUGGGAUUACAUAUUCAGUAUACAAAAUACGGAAUCACUUUCUAUAUCUAGGGUUGCCUCAAGUUAAAUGGCAAGAAUGGGUUGAAGUACUUUCCCUCUUAAAAAAAGGGAACAAAAAAGACAGCAGGAUAUAUGUCCUCCCUUUCCUGCAUUAUCUGAUAAUGCCAAACACUUGUAAUGCUCUAUUUUGUGUUUACCAGCACUGAAUACUGUAGUCUGAUGCAAAGCAGAACUUGUUUCUAAUAAAGAAAAUUGAAAGUAA
This is a long non-coding RNA of Neopsephotus bourkii (Bourke's parrot), 4526 nucleotides long. RefSeq lists it as uncharacterized. The record is from RefSeq and is a predicted model, not a curated record. NCBI's taxonomy places the organism in Eukaryota, Metazoa, Chordata, Aves, Psittaciformes, Psittacidae. The transcript is spliced from 3 exons.